This 96-nucleotide signal recognition particle RNA is filed under the name Rickettsiales bacterium TMED127. Its description in RNAcentral is "signal recognition particle sRNA small type". It matches the Rfam family "Bacterial small signal recognition particle RNA". From Rfam's summary of the family: The signal recognition particle (SRP) is a universally conserved ribonucleoprotein involved in the co-translational targeting of proteins to membranes. Archaeal SRP consists of a 7S RNA and homologues of the eukaryotic SRP19 and SRP54 proteins. Lineage: Bacteria; Pseudomonadati; Pseudomonadota; Alphaproteobacteria; Rickettsiales. RNAcentral also lists the same sequence under 1 other name. The record is from RNAcentral.
UGGGAGUUGUUUUUAGGCAAUUAUUUCGCGAACCCGGUCAGGACUGAAAAGUAGCAGCCGCAACGAAAAUAAUUGGGUUGGAUGCGACUCCCACCU